Molecule: unclassified non-coding RNA, 279 nt
Filed under: uncultured fungus
Lineage: Eukaryota; Fungi
Description: partial contains small subunit ribosomal RNA, internal transcribed spacer 1, and 5.8S ribosomal RNA
Rfam family: Eukaryotic small subunit ribosomal RNA (bases 1-73)
Source: RNAcentral
ACAAACUUGGUCAUUUAGAGGAAGUAAAAGUCGUAACAAGGUCUCCGUAGGUGAACCUGCGGAGGGAUCAUUACAAAUUGCUUUUCGAAGCGUCAAACCUGUUUAUUUACCUGUUGCUUAGGCGGUGCCCCUGGGAGGGGAGUUGUCGUGAGCUGCCGCGAGGCUGUGAGCGACCGCCGCCGAAAGCCCACUUUACUACAGUCACUGUCUAUCAGAAAACGAAAACAUUAAAACCUCAACAACGGAUCUCUUGGUUACAGCAUCGAUGAAGAACGCAGC